RNAcentral lists this ribosomal RNA (330 nucleotides) under uncultured eukaryote. RNAcentral's name for it is "partial 18S ribosomal RNA". It matches the Rfam family "Eukaryotic small subunit ribosomal RNA", at positions 1470 to 1796 of the family's 1831-position model. The record is from RNAcentral.
CCCUUAGAUGUUCUGGGCCGCACGCGCGCUACACUGAUGCAUUCAACGAGUCUAAAACCUGGUCUGAUAGGGCUGGGUAAUCUUUUGAAAGUGCAUCGUGAUUGGGAUAGAUGAUUGCAAUUCUUCAUCUUCAACGAGGAAUGCCUAGUAAACGCAAGUCAUCAGCUUGCAUUGAUUACGUCCCUGCCCUUUGUACACACCGCCCGUCGCUCCUACCGAUUGAAUGAUCCGAUGAAUACCAUGGAUUGAGAGUUCGAACAGGUUCUCCUGUUUCAGCUUCUCGAGAAGUGGGGUAAAUCUUAUCAUUUAGAGGAAGGAGAAGUCGUAACA